AUUAGAUUGUUAUUUUUAUGGAGGCAGGACAUUGAUGGGAAGGAUGUUGCUUUGAACAAAUUCAAGGGGAAAGUUAUGUUGAUUGUCAAUGUUGCUUCAAGAUGGUAAGCUUCUCCUUCUUCAUCCUCUUGAUGUGUUUGAUGACAGUUCAUGUAGAGGUUUCUAAUCUUAAAGAUUGUGUGUUUUAUGAACAUACAGUGGUUUGACAUCAUCAAAUUACUCAGAGCUUUCACAUCUGUACGAGAAAUACAAAAC
This 255-nucleotide small RNA is filed under the name Arabidopsis thaliana (thale cress). RNAcentral describes it as "ATSL111030". The record is from RNAcentral. Lineage: Eukaryota; Viridiplantae; Streptophyta; Magnoliopsida; Brassicales; Brassicaceae.